GCCUGCCCAGUGACUAUAUGUUAAACGGCCGCGGUAUUCUGACCGUGCCAAGGUAGCGCAAUCACUUGCCCUUUAAAUGGGGGCCCGUAUGAAUGGCACCACGAGGGCUAAUCUGUCUCCUUUUUCAGGUCAAUGAAAUUGAUCUCCCCGUGCAGAAGCGGGGAUUUUAUCAUAAGACGAGAAGACCCUGUGGAGCUUUAGAUUCCAAGGCCGAUCCUGUCACUAUCCCAGAACAAAGGGGCCGAAUUAAGGAGCACCGCCCGAUAUCUUUGGUUGGGGCGACCGCGGGGAUUAACAAAACCCCCACGUGGACCGGGAGCAUAAUGCGCCCAAAACCGAGAGUUACCACUCAAACUAGCAGAACAUCUGACCAGUAUAUGAUCCGACAAAGUCGAUCAACGAACAGAGUUACCCCAGGGAUAACAGCGCAAUCCCCUUUUAGAGUUCAUAUCGACAAGGGGGUUUACGACCUCGAUGUUGGAUCAGGACAUCCUAAUGGCGCAGCCACUAUUAAGGGUUCGUUUGUUCAACGAUUAAAGUCCUACGUGAU
Molecule: ribosomal RNA, 550 nt
Filed under: Parascolopsis eriomma (rosy dwarf monocle bream)
Lineage: Eukaryota; Metazoa; Chordata; Actinopteri; Spariformes; Nemipteridae
Description: partial 16S ribosomal RNA
Rfam family: Bacterial large subunit ribosomal RNA
Source: RNAcentral